CCUACGGGGGGCAGCAGUGAGGAAUAUUGGUCAAUGGUCGCGAGCCUGAACCAGCCAAGUAGCGUGAAGGAUGACUGCCCUACGGGUUGUAAACUUCUUUUAUCAAGGAAUAAAGUGAGGCACGUGUGCCUUUUUGUAUGUACUUUAUGAAUAAGGAUCGGCUAACUCCGUGCCAGCAGCCGCGGUAAUACGGAGGAUCCGAGCGUUAUCCGGAUUUAUUGGGUUUAAAGGGAGCGUAGAUGGGUUGUUAAGUCAGUGGUGAAAGUUUGCGGCUCAACCGUAAAAUUGCAAUUGAUACUGGAAGUCUUGAGUACAGGUGAGGUAGGCGGAAUGCGUGGUGUAGCGGUGAAAUGCUUAGAUAUCACGAAGAACUCCGAUUGCGAAGGCAGCUUACUAAACUGCCACUGACAUUGAUGCUCGAAAGUGUGGGUAUCAAACAGGAUUAGAUACCCGAGUAGUC
RNAcentral lists this ribosomal RNA (460 nucleotides) under uncultured bacterium. RNAcentral describes it as "partial 16S ribosomal RNA". It matches the Rfam family "Bacterial small subunit ribosomal RNA", at positions 338 to 795 of the family's 1533-position model. The record is from RNAcentral.